AAAGGAGAAACUGUUUAUGGGAAUGGUUUUUUGAUAACUUCUUGUAGAAAAAACCUCCUCACGUCUCCUCUCAUCUCCUAGUGAUUUCCACAGAGAAAUGAGUUCUCUGUAAAUGCUCUCCAAAAAAAUCCAAUUCCCUCUGAUCUUUUUGAUUAGGUGAUUCCCACAAAUCGGUUCUUGCCAAGAACAUAGCAAGGAAAACCUCCUCAUCUUCUUCUCUCCAUUUCCAUAGAGAAAUGAGUUCUUUGUAAAUGCUCUCCAAAAAAUUCAAUUUCCUUUGUUCUUUUUUAGAAGGCGAUUCUUACAAACCGAUCCUUGUCAAAGAGAAUAGUAUGAAAGAUUUUUUUGGUGACAUCUUCUUACUAUUCGUGGGAGAUCGAUUACUGAAAAAAUGGAGAAGAUUUGAAGAAGUGUUCUUCAAAGAAAAUUUACUUCACAAAUUCACUCAAAUAUGAGUUCCACCAUUCAAAUUCAAGGUUGGAAUAGUAGAGAAGACCUCUUAGUGGUUCAUGGUUGAUUUGGAGUUGAAUUGGAGUGAAAAGUCACUUGGAAUCAGGAGAAUUCAUCAAAGGUAUGAAACUUGAAACCCUCUUGUGUAUUUUCUAAAAAUGCAACUUUAGAACUCAAAUUAAAUAAAAUUAGAGUGCUUAUUGAUUCCGUUUGCUUCUUUUGCAUACUUGUAUAUUUCGUCAGUUAUAUGUUUCAUGUUUAUGUAUUUUGCUGCAACUGAGUUUGAGAGGAGCCUAUCGAGCCUAGAAGACCAACUAUAGUGGCCAACACAAAAGAAAAACCUCUAGAUUGGCAGGAUUUUGUUGAUAUGACAAAAUUUAAUUGCGUGACUAUUUUCAUUUAGUUACGUGAUUUUUUUUUUGUUGGAUGUAUCUAUAUGACCCUUCAAAUUAGACGACCAACUCUCUAGAUCUUUAGACUUUAGAGCUUUAUGUAUAUAUUGCGUCCAAUAACUUGUUGAUAGGUUAGUUAAAAAAAAAUUCACUUUAUUUGUUGUGAAUUAGUUAAUUUUUGUGUUGUUUAAAGUUGAGUUGUAUAUAUAAUAGCAAUUAAUAUUUUAU
This is a non-coding RNA of Benincasa hispida (wax gourd), 1070 nucleotides long. NCBI's taxonomy places the organism in Eukaryota, Viridiplantae, Streptophyta, Magnoliopsida, Cucurbitales, Cucurbitaceae. The record is from RefSeq and is a predicted model, not a curated record.